RNAcentral lists this ribosomal RNA (245 nucleotides) under uncultured bacterium. Its description in RNAcentral is "partial 16S ribosomal RNA". It matches the Rfam family "Bacterial small subunit ribosomal RNA", at positions 524 to 769 of the family's 1533-position model. The record is from RNAcentral.
UACAGAGGGUGCAAGCGUUAAUCGGAGUUACUGGGCGUAAAGGGCGCGUAGGCGGAUAUUUAAGUCGGAUGUGAAAUCCCUGGGCUUAACCUAGGAAUUGCAUUCGAUACUGGGUAUCUGGAGUAUGGUAGAGGAAAGUGGAAUUCCCGGUGUAGCGGUGAAAUGCGUAGAUAUCGGGAAGAACAUCAAGGCGAAGGCAGCUUUCUGGACCAAUACUGACGCUGAGGCGCGAAAGCGUGGGGAGC